This 89-nucleotide unclassified non-coding RNA is filed under the name Pseudomonas brassicacearum. The record is from RNAcentral. Lineage: Bacteria; Pseudomonadati; Pseudomonadota; Gammaproteobacteria; Pseudomonadales; Pseudomonadaceae.
UGUGGGAGCGAGCUUGCUCGCGAAAGCGGUGUGUCAGCCACUAUUGAAUUGCCUGAUACACCGCUAUCGCGAGCAAGCUCGCUCCCACA